This is a long non-coding RNA of Talpa occidentalis (Iberian mole), 295 nucleotides long. RefSeq lists it as uncharacterized. The transcript is spliced from 3 exons. NCBI's taxonomy places the organism in Eukaryota, Metazoa, Chordata, Mammalia, Eulipotyphla, Talpidae. The record is from RefSeq and is a predicted model, not a curated record.
UUUGGGGACACCACAGGAUGUCAGGCUUCACUUUAAAACAGUUAAAUGAAUUCAAAGACGCAUUUAUUUAAUACACGUUUCCCUGGACUUGAAGCUUUAACAGUGUCCCAUACAGUGAUAAAAGAUGGUCCUAUUUCACAAAUGAGAGAUACGAUGCUUAGAGAAUUGCACAGCUAGUUGCUGCCAAAACUUGAACGAUCUUCUGGGUCCAUGCUCAUGUGAUUCCAAUAUGUUGCAACCACUAGGAGAGUAAAAAGGUGAGAGAAUGACACAGAGAGAUUAAGGCAGUCUUCCC